RNAcentral lists this ribosomal RNA (200 nucleotides) under uncultured Paraglomeraceae. RNAcentral's name for it is "partial small subunit ribosomal RNA". It matches the Rfam family "Eukaryotic small subunit ribosomal RNA", at positions 591 to 790 of the family's 1831-position model. Lineage: Eukaryota; Fungi; Glomeromycota; Glomeromycetes; Paraglomerales. The record is from RNAcentral.
CCAAUAGCGUAUAUUAAAGUUGUUGCAGUUAAAAAGCUCGUAGUUGAAUUUCGGGAGCCGCGGGUCGGUUGGGCUUAAUUGUCCAUCACUGGCUCCGCGGGUCUCUUACCUUCUGGCGAGGUCAGAUGUCAUUCAUUUGGUGUCUGGCGGAACCAGGACCAUUACCUUGAAAAAAUUAGAGUGUUUAAAGCAGGCUUUAU